This 253-nucleotide ribosomal RNA is filed under the name uncultured bacterium. RNAcentral's name for it is "partial 16S ribosomal RNA". It matches the Rfam family "Bacterial small subunit ribosomal RNA", at positions 524 to 776 of the family's 1533-position model. The record is from RNAcentral.
GACGUAGGGCGCGAGCGUUGUCCGGAUUCAUUGGGCGUAAAGAGCGCGCAGGCGGUUUGGUAAGUCGGAUGUGAAAUCCCGGGGCUCAACCCCGGACCUGCAUCCGAUACUGCCCGACUAGAGGUAGGUAGGGGAGAUCGGAAUUCCUGGUGUAGCGGUGAAAUGCGCAGAUAUCAGGAGGAACACCGGUGGCGAAGGCGGAUCUCUGGGCCUUACCUGACGCUCAGGCGCGAAAGCUAGGGGAGCGAACAGG